CCUACGGGAGGCAGCAGUGAGGAAUAUUGGUCAAUGGACGAGAGUCUGAACCCGCCAAGUAGCGUGAAGGAUGACUGCCCUAUGGUUUGUAAACUUCUUUUAUAUGGGAAUAAAAUGUUCCACGUGUGGGAUUUUGUAUGUACCAUAUGACUAAGGAUCGGCUAACUACGUGCCAGCAGCCGCGGUAAUACGGAGGAUCCGAGCGUUAUCCGGAUUUAGUGGGUUUAAAGGGAGCGUAGGUGGAUUGUUAAGUCAGUUGUGAAAGUUUGCGGCUCAACCGUAAAAUUGCAGUUGAAACUGGCAGUCUUGAGUACAGUAGAGGUGGGCGGAAUUCGUGGUGUAGCGGUGAAAUGCUUAGAUAUCACGAAGAACUCCGAUUGCGAAGGCAGAUCACUGGACUGCAACUGACACUGAGGCUCGAAAGUGUGGGUAUCAAACAGGAUUAGAGACCCCGGUAGUC
RNAcentral lists this ribosomal RNA (460 nucleotides) under uncultured bacterium. RNAcentral's name for it is "partial 16S ribosomal RNA". It matches the Rfam family "Bacterial small subunit ribosomal RNA", at positions 338 to 795 of the family's 1533-position model. The record is from RNAcentral.